Molecule: long non-coding RNA, 415 nt
Filed under: Physcomitrium patens
Lineage: Eukaryota; Viridiplantae; Streptophyta; Bryopsida; Funariales; Funariaceae
Description: long non-coding RNA (PPAT_LNC001575)
Source: RNAcentral
GUCUGUAGAAUAAAUCAGAGAUUGAUUUAUGAGUUAUUGAUUAUGUAAUUGGAGUACUGAGUGAUUGAAUUAUAUGAGGAGUUAUUGGAAGAUUAUGAUUGUUGUUUAUUGAGAGCUGUGUGUAUUUUGGACAAAGGAAGUUGGUGAUUACAUAAAUUCUAAAAAUUGAGAUUGAUUAGAGUGAAGUUUGUUAUUUCUGGUAUUGGAUAGAAAUUAUGUGUUUUGAGCGGUCUUUUGAGAGUGUAGGAUUGCACACUGUUGUUAUCAGUUGAUGAAGGAGUAUUAUUACUGGGAGAAAGCAUUGUAGUAUUUUUUAGUAUUUUAGUGGUUCGGAAUACUGUUAAUUGUAUGACCCUUAUGAGCAAAAUUCAUACAUUUAGUCUUUUCCUAUGUUCGAAUUCUCCUAUACAUGUUU